RNAcentral lists this ribosomal RNA (400 nucleotides) under uncultured bacterium. RNAcentral's name for it is "partial 16S ribosomal RNA". It matches the Rfam family "Bacterial small subunit ribosomal RNA", at positions 356 to 773 of the family's 1533-position model. The record is from RNAcentral.
GGGGAAUUUUGCGCAAUGGGGGGAACCCUGACGCAGCGACGCCGCGUGGGUGAUGAAGGCCUUCGGGUUGUAAAGCCCCGUUGGGGGGGAAGAUAAUGACGGUACCCCCUGAGGAAGCCCCGGCUAACUACGUGCCAGCAGCCGCGGUAAGACGUAGGGGGCGAGCGUUGUCCGGAAUUACUGGGCGUAAAGGGCGUGUAGGCGGCCUUUCAAGUCGGCUGUGAAAUACCCCGGCUCAACCGGGGGGGUGCAGUCGAAACUGGGGGGCUUGAGUGCAGGAGAGGAGGGUGGAAUUCCCGGUGGAGCGGUGAUAUGCGUAGAUAUCGGGAGGAACACCGGUGGCGAAGGCGACCUUCUGGCCUGUUACUGACGCUGAGGCGCGAAAGCCGGGGGAGCAAAC